This 2325-nucleotide long non-coding RNA is filed under the name Gallus gallus (chicken). RNAcentral describes it as "lncRNA (ENSGALG00010000658.1)". The record is from RNAcentral. Lineage: Eukaryota; Metazoa; Chordata; Aves; Galliformes; Phasianidae.
CCCGAAUUAAAGCAGUUUUGGUACUACGAAAAGCCCUUUUAAACUUUGCCGCGGCGAGGGAAGGGUUAACGGCGCCCCUCGGCUCCGCCCGCGCCACUCUCAACCAAUCAGCGCUCUGCGCCCCGCCUCCCGCAGCCAAUCGGCGUCCUCUCUUCAAGCCGCGCCCUUUGCCCUAUCGGCUGUGUCAUUGCGGCGGUCCCCACUUCCCCGCCAUCGCCGCCUUAAGAGGAGGCCACGCCCCGCUUCCCCGCCCUCUGAACCAGCAGCCAAUCAGCGCAAAGCGCCCCGCUCCCUCAGCCAAUCGGCGCGCUAGCCCCGCCCACUAGCCGCUCAUCCAAUCAACGUUCAAUCUCUUCAAACGCCAGCAGUUUCUUGUCCGCCAGUUUGGGGGCGGGGCUUAAACAGGAAGUGCGGUAAGCCGUCAGUUUGUAGGCGGAGCUUACACAGGAAGUGCGAUUGUCCGAGUUUGGGGGCGUGGCUUAAACCGGAAGCAUAGCUGUCCAUCAGUUCUUGGGUCGUGGCUUAAACCGGAAGCACGCGUGUCCGCCAUCUUGGGGGCGUGGCUUGUCGCGCAGGGGCUGCUGGGAAUCGUAGUCCUUAAAGGGGCCACCGCCAUUUUGGGGGCGUUUUGGGGGCGAAAAACGGAGAAAUGCGGACAAAACGGGGCGGAGUUUUUACAGCGGGGGGGGCGGGGCGGCCAACAGCGCUUCCACGGACCUGAGGGCAAAGGGGGGCAGCGGCACUUAGGGGGCAGCCCCACACUUAGGGGGCGGACCCCCACUUAUGGGGCAGCCCCACACUUAUGGGGCAGACCCCCACUUAUGGGGCAGCCCCACACUUACGGGUUGGACCCACACUUAUGGGGCAGCCCCACACUUAUGGGGCAGCCCCACUUAUAGGCCAUACCCACACUUAUGGGUCAGACCCCCGCUUAGGGGGCAGCCCCACACUUAUGGGUCGGACUCCCACUUAUGGGUCAGCCCCACACUUACGGAUUGGACCCCCACUUAUGGGGCAGCCCCCCACUUAUGGGGCAGCCCCCCACUUAUGGGGCAGCCCCACACUUACAGGUCAGACCCCACUUAUGGGCCAUACCCCCACUUAAGGGUCAGACCCCCACUUAUGGGUCAGACCCCCACUUAUGGGGCAGGCUCACACUUACAGGUCAGACCCCACUUAUGGGGCAGCCCCACUUAUAGGCCAUACCCACACUUAUGGGUCAGACCCCCGCUUAGGGGGCAGCCCCACACUUAUGGGGCAGCCCCACUUAUAGGCCAUACCCCCACUUAUUGGGCAGCCCCACUUAUGGGUCAGCCCCACACUUAUGGGUCGGACCCACACUUAUGGGUCGGACCCACACUUACGGGUCGGACCCCCACUUAUGGGCCGGACCCCCACUUAUGGGGCAGCCCCACACCUCAGCAUCCCCCGCAGUCUCCGCCGUCGAUCCCUCAGCGCCUGCAGCACCGCAUCCUCCACCGCCUCCGCCUCAUCCGAAUCUGUGGGGCACAGAGCAAAUGUGGGGCAGCACAUGUGGGGCUGCCCCAUAAGUGGGGGUCAGACCCAUAAGUGGGGGUAUGGCCUGUAAGUGGGGGGCUGCCCUAUAAGUGAAGGCUGCCCCAUAAGUGAAGGCUGCCCCAUAAGUGUGGGGCUGCCCCCUAAGUGUGGCUCUGCCCCACAAGUGGGGGCUGACCCCUAAGUGUGGCUCUGCCCCAUAAGUGGGGGCCGCCCCAUAAGCGUGGGUCUGACCCGUAAGUGAGGGUGACCCCUAAGUCUGGCUCUGCCCCAUAAGUGUGGGGCUGACCCAUAAGUGAAGGUAUGGCCUAUAAGUUUGGCUCUGCCCCAUAAGUGUGGGUCUGACCCAUAAGUGAGGGUGACCCCUAAGUGUGGCUCUGCCCCAUAAGUGAAGGGCUGACCCACAAGUGAAUGUACGGUCUAUAAGUGGGCUGACCCCUAAGUGUGGCUCUGCCCCAUAAGUGUGGGGCUGCCCCAUAAGUGCUCUCAGUUCUCACCCAUUGCUUCCUGCAGCAGUUCGAUGGCGGCCGCUUUCUGCCCCAUGGCGCUGCCCCACGGCGCUGGAGGGACGGUCUGCCCCAUAGAAACACACUGACCCACAGCUCCGCCCCAUAGAUCCUACAGUCCUGCCCCAUAGAUCCACAGCUCUGCCCCAUAGAUCCACAGCUCCACCCCACAGAUCUACAGUUCUGCCCCAUAGAUCUCUCUGCCCCAUGGUUCUGCCCCAUAGAUCCACAGCUCCGCCCCAUAGAUCCCACAGUUCUGCCCCAUAGAUCCCUCUGCCCCACAGCUCCGCCCCAUAGAUCCACA